GAUGAACGCUGGCGGCGUGCCUAAUACAUGCAAGUCGAGCGAACAGACGAGGAGCUUGCUCCUCUGACGUUAGCGGCGGACGGGUGAGUAACACGUGGAUAACCUACCUAUAAGACUGAGAUAACUUCGGGAAACCGGAGCUAAUACCGGAUAAUAUAUUGAACCGCAUGGUUCAAUAGUGAAAGACGGUUUUGCUGUCACUUAUAGAUGGAUCCGCGCCGCAUUAGCUAGUUGGUAAGGUAACGGCUUACCAAGGCGACGAUGCGUAGCCGACCUGAGAGGGUGAUCGGCCACACUGGAACUGAGACACGGUCCAGACUCCUACGGGAGGCAGCAGUAGGGAAUCUUCCGCAAUGGGCGAAAGCCUGACGGAGCAACGCCGCGUGAGUGAUGAAGGUCUUCGGAUCGUAAAACUCUGUUAUUAGGGAAGAACAAAUGUGUAAGUAACUAUGCACGUCUUGACGGUACCUAAUCAGAAAGCCACGGCCAACUACGUG
Molecule: ribosomal RNA, 497 nt
Filed under: uncultured bacterium
Lineage: Bacteria
Description: partial 16S ribosomal RNA
Rfam family: Bacterial small subunit ribosomal RNA
Source: RNAcentral